Molecule: ribosomal RNA, 268 nt
Filed under: uncultured prokaryote
Description: partial 16S ribosomal RNA
Rfam family: Bacterial small subunit ribosomal RNA
Source: RNAcentral
CAGCAGCCGCGGUAAUACGGAGGGUGCGAGCGUUAAUCGGAAUUACUGGGCGUAAAGCGUGCGCAGGCGGUUUGUUAAGCGAGAUGUGAAAGCCCCGGGCUCAACCUGGGAACCGCAUUUCGAACUGGCAAACUAGAGUCUUGUAGAGGGGGGUAGAAUUCCAGGUGUAGCGGUGAAAUGCGUAGAGAUCUGGAGGAAUACCGGUGGCGAAGGCGGCCCCCUGGACAAAGACUGACGCUCAGGCACGAAAGCGUGGGGAGCAAACAGG